RNAcentral lists this transfer RNA (71 nucleotides) under Planctomycetia bacterium. RNAcentral describes it as "tRNA-Gln". It matches the Rfam family "tRNA". Rfam says of the family: Transfer RNA (tRNA) molecules are approximately 80 nucleotides in length. Their secondary structure includes four short double-helical elements and three loops (D, anti-codon, and T loops). Further hydrogen bonds mediate the characteristic L-shaped molecular structure. tRNAs have two regions of fundamental functional importance: the anti-codon, which is responsible for specific mRNA codon recognition, and the 3' end, to which the tRNAs corresponding amino acid is attached (by aminoacyl-tRNA synthetases). tRNAs cope with the degeneracy of the genetic code in two manners: having more than one tRNA (with a specific anti-codon) for a particular amino acid; and 'wobble' base-pairing, i.e. permitting non-standard base-pairing at the 3rd anti-codon position. The record is from RNAcentral. Lineage: Bacteria; Pseudomonadati; Planctomycetota; Planctomycetia.
UGGGGAAUGGUGUAAAGGUAGCACGACUGGCUCUGAACCAGUUAGUCGGGGUUCGAAUCCCUGUUCCCCAG